CUUAGGAACUUGGUCAAAAUAUCAUUUCAAUUGUUUGUUUUUAGAUGUAAUUACUUUUCCCAAAGACUCUUGCUCACUUUUCCCAAACACUCUUCCUGUCUCUCCAACCUACGAAAUUUGUCUCUCUGUCUCUAACCCCAGAUCUAGAUCCGGCCAACAACGGUGACAUAAACCAGUGGAGAGCUAUUUCCUUCAAAUCGCGGGUGAAGAUCUAUUUCUUUCGAAUCAUGGGUGAAGUCCUUCAAAUCAAAAAGCUUUUUAGAAGAAUUUACAGUGAAAUUUUCAUGAGAAAGCAUUAAUUUAGAGGAUUAGAUUGCUGGAUUUGUUUACGAAGAAGAAACACACGGUCAAUUCAGGGGCGGAUCCAGCACCUGGCGAGCCGGCGCGGCCGCCCGUGCUGGAUCCGUCGGAGAAAAAUUUAGUGAAAGUUUAUGUUAAAUAUUUAUCUAUAUAUGUUUUGUGCAUAAGAGUCAACAAAAUGGGCGGUAGACGCAGUGGUUGCGCUCUCACUUUUACAUUAAAGAGAUACCGCAGUGAAUGUUCAACAUUCGCGGUUCGCCCUAGCUGAACUCAAAGCCUAAAUUCGUCCCUGACGGUCAUGAUUUGAAGGAAAUUUAGUCCGUGAUUUUUUGAAGGAAGGAAUAAAUAUAGCCAAGGAACAUGACUAUUCGGAGAUUUCCCUCGACAUAACUCUACGUAAGGAUUAAAGAGAUUCGAAAGACAACGAGAAUGGAAAGAAAGGUGUCAAUAAAAUGUAGCAUUGAACUUCGAUGUAAUUGGACAGUGAUAAUUGUAUCUCUUUGUAUUUGUAUCUUGUAUGGUUUUACAUCGGUUGCACAAUCUACUGUACCAAUCGCCAUUUAUGAAUCUAUCCUAUUUCCUCUCUUUUUUU
Molecule: long non-coding RNA, 892 nt
Organism: Olea europaea var. sylvestris
Lineage: Eukaryota; Viridiplantae; Streptophyta; Magnoliopsida; Lamiales; Oleaceae
Exons: 3
Source: RefSeq, a predicted model, not a curated record